RNAcentral lists this ribosomal RNA (829 nucleotides) under uncultured bacterium. RNAcentral's name for it is "bacterial SSU rRNA". It matches the Rfam family "Bacterial small subunit ribosomal RNA", at positions 64 to 921 of the family's 1533-position model. The record is from RNAcentral.
CGGCAGCGCGAGUAGUUUACUACUUGGCGGCGAGCGGCGGACGGCUGAGUAACGCGUGGGAACGUGCCCCAAAGUGAGGAAUAACUGCCCGAAAGGGUGGCUAAUGCCGCAUAUGAUCUUCGGAUUAAAGGAUUUAUCCGCUUUGGGAGCGGCCCGCGUCGGAUUAGGUUGUUGGUGAGGUAAUGGCUCACCAAGCCGACGAUCCGUAGCUGGUCUGAGAGGAUGAUCAGCCAGACUGGAACUGAGACACGAUCCAGACUCCUACGGGAGGCAGCAGUGAGGAAUCUUCCACAAUGGGGGCAACCCUGAUGGAGCAACGCCGCGUGCAGGAUGAAGGCCUUCGGGUCGUAAACUGCUUUUAUAAGUGAAGAAUAUGACGGUAACUUAUGAAUAAGGAUCGGCUAACUACGUGCCAGCAGCCGCGGUCAUACGUAGGAUCCGAGCAUUAUCCGGAGUGACUGGGCGUAAAGAGUUGCGUAGGCGGUUAGUAAAGCGAAUAGUGAAACCUGGUGGCUCAACCAUACAGACUAUUAUUCGAACUCGCUAACUCGAGAAUGGUAGAGGUAACUGGAAUUUCUUGUGUAGGAGUGAAAUCCGUAGAUAUAAGAAGGAACACCAAUGGCGUAGGCAGGUUACUGGACCAUUUCUGACGCUAAGGCACGAAAGCAUGGGGAGCGAACCGGAUUAGAUACCCGGGUAGUCCACGCCGUAAACGAUGGAUACUAGCUGUUGGGGGUAUCGACCCCCCCAGUAGCGAAGCUAACGCGUUAAGUAUCCCGCCUGUGGAGUACGGUCGCAAGACUAAAACAUAAAGGAAUUGACGGGGACC